AGUGAACGCUGGCGGUAGGCCUAACACAUGCAAGUCGAACGGCAGCACCGUAAGAGCUUGCUCUUACGGGUGUCGAGUGGCGGACGGGUGAGUAAUACAUCGGAAUCUACUUUUUCGUGGGGGCUAACGUAGGGUAACUUACGCUAAUACCGCAUACGACCUCCGUGUGAAAGCAGGGGAUCUUCGGACCUUUCGCUAUUGAAUGAGCCUAUGUCGGAUUAGCUAGUUGGCGGGGUAAAGGCCCACCAAGGCGACGAUCCGUAGCUGGUCUGAGAGGAUGUACAGACACACUGGAACUGAGAAACGGUCCAGACUCCUACGGGAGGAAACAGUGGGGAAUAUUAGACAAUGGGGGCAAGACUGAUCCAGAAAUACCGCGUGGGGGAAGAAGGAGUUCGGGUUGUAGAGCCAUUAUGUUGGGAAAGAAAAGCAGCAGGUUAAUACCGCGCUGUACUGACGGUACCGAAAGAAUAAGCUCCGGCUAACUUCGUG
RNAcentral lists this ribosomal RNA (492 nucleotides) under uncultured bacterium. RNAcentral's name for it is "partial 16S ribosomal RNA". It matches the Rfam family "Bacterial small subunit ribosomal RNA", at positions 29 to 507 of the family's 1533-position model. The record is from RNAcentral.